UACGGGGGGUGCGAGCGUUGUCCGGAAUCACUGGGCGUAAAGGGCGCGUAGGUGGUCUGAUAAGGGUGUGGUGAAAGCCCGGGGCUCAACCCCGGGUCGGCCGUGCCGACUGUUAGACUGGAGUGCUGUAGGGGCAGGCGGAAUUCCGGGUGUAGCGGUGGAAUGCGUAGAGAUCCGGAGGAAGACCGGUGGCGAAGGCGGCCUGCUGGGCAGAUACUGACACUGAGGCGCGACAGCGUGGGGAGCAAACAGG
RNAcentral lists this ribosomal RNA (253 nucleotides) under uncultured bacterium. Its description in RNAcentral is "partial 16S ribosomal RNA". It matches the Rfam family "Bacterial small subunit ribosomal RNA", at positions 524 to 776 of the family's 1533-position model. The record is from RNAcentral.